This 510-nucleotide ribosomal RNA is filed under the name uncultured Acaulospora. RNAcentral's name for it is "SSU rRNA". It matches the Rfam family "Eukaryotic small subunit ribosomal RNA", at positions 569 to 1078 of the family's 1831-position model. Lineage: Eukaryota; Fungi; Glomeromycota; Glomeromycetes; Diversisporales; Acaulosporaceae. The record is from RNAcentral.
AGCAGCCGCGGUAAUUCCAGCUCCAAUAGCGUAUAUUAAAGUUGUUGCAGUUAAAAAGCUCGUAGUUGAAUUUCGGGAUUCAUCCGUUGGUCGGGCUUCACGGUCCGUACUGGUGUGAUGGGUUCCUACCUUCUGAAUAACCGGCAUGCCAUUAAUUUGGUGCGCCGGGGAAGCAGAACUAUUACCUUGAAAAAAUUAGAGUGCUUAAAGCAGGCAAGUGCCUGAAUAGGUUAGCAUGGAAUAAUAAAAUAGGACGGCAUGGUUCUAUUUUGUUGGUUUCUAGGAUCACCGUAAUGAUUAAUAGGGAUAGUUGGGGGCAUUAGUAUUCAAUUGUCAGAGGUGAAAUUCUUGGAUUUAUUGAAGACUAACUUCUGCGAAAGCAUUUGCCAAGGAUGUUUUCAUUAAUCAAGAACGAAAGUUAGGGGAUCGAAGACGAUCAGAUACCGUCGUAGUCUUAACCAUAAACUAUGCCGACUAGGGAUCGGACGAUGUUAAUUUUUUAAUGACUCG